AAUCGGAUGGCCAACAGAUGGAGACAAUAAUGCAAACUUAAAGGCUGCCCAGAGAUUCAACCAAGGAUUCAUGACUCACAUUUCAGGUGGAAAGGGGACUCCAAUGAGACCUGGCCCUAUAGAUGCUUACCUGUUUAGCCUGAUCGAUGAGGAUGCAAAAAGCAUCCAGCCUGGUAACUUUGAACGCCAUUGGGGAAUAUUUUACUUCGAUGGUACGCCUAAAUACAAUCUUUCCCUGGCUGCAAACAAUGGAGGCUUAGUACCAGCAAGCGGUGUUCGUUACCUGGCUCGCCAGUGGUGCGUGCUGUUGCCCUCGGCCAGUCUUGAUGAUCCACAGCUAGCUGAUAGUGUGGGCUAUGCAUGUUCAGCCUGAUCGACGAGGACGCAAAAAGCAUCCAGCCUGGUAACUUCGAACGCCAUUGGGGAAUAUUUUACUUCGAUGGUACGCCUAAAUACAAUCUUUCUCUGGGUGCAAACAAUGGAGGUUUAGUACCAGCAAAUG
RNAcentral lists this long non-coding RNA (502 nucleotides) under Nicotiana benthamiana. RNAcentral's name for it is "long non-coding RNA (NBEN_LNC040440)". The record is from RNAcentral. Lineage: Eukaryota; Viridiplantae; Streptophyta; Magnoliopsida; Solanales; Solanaceae.